This 492-nucleotide ribosomal RNA is filed under the name uncultured bacterium. Its description in RNAcentral is "partial 16S ribosomal RNA". It matches the Rfam family "Bacterial small subunit ribosomal RNA", at positions 29 to 507 of the family's 1533-position model. The record is from RNAcentral.
AGCGAACGCUGGCGGUAGGCUUAACACAUGCAAGUCGAACGGCAGCACCGUAAGAGCUUGCUCUUAUGGGUGGCGAGUGGCGGACGGGAGAGGAAUAUAACCGAAUCUACUUUUUCGUGGGGGAUAACGUAGGGAAACCUAAGAUCAUAUCGCAUAUGCCCUACGGGUGAAAGCAGGGGAUAUUUGGAGCUUGCGCGAAUGAAUGAGCCGAUGUCGGAGUUGUUAGUUGGCGGGGUAAAGACCAACCAAGGCGACGAUCCGUAGCUGGUCUGGGAGGAGGGUCGGCGACACUGGAGGUGGGACACGGUCCAGACUCCUGCGGGAGGCAGCAGUGUGGUAUAUUGGGCAGUGGGGGCGAGCCUUGUCCAGCCAUACCACGUGGGAGGAGGAGGCCUUCGGUUUGUAAAGCCGUUUUGUUGGGAAAGAAAAGCAGCAGGUUAAUACCCCGCUGUACUGACGGUACCCAGUGAAUAAGCACCGGCUAACUUCGUG